AUUCCGGUUGAUCCUGCCGGAGGUCAUUGCUAUUGGAGUCCGAUUUAGCCAUGCUAGUUGUACGAGUUUAGACUCGUAGCAGAUAGCUCAGUAACACGUGGCCAAACUACCCUAUGGAUCCAGACAACCUCGGGAAACUGAGGCUAAUCUGGAAUACGACUCUCAUCCUGGAGUGGAGAGAGUCCGAAAUGCUCCGGCGCCAUAGGAUGUGGCUGCGGCCGAUUAGGUAGACGGUGGGGUAACGGCCCACCGUGCCAGUAAUCGGUACGGGUUGUGAGAGCAAGAGCCCGGAGACGGUAUCUGAGACAAGAUACCGGGCCCUACGGGGCGCAGCAGGCGCGAAACCUUUACACUGCACGCCAGUGCGAUAAGGGGACUCCAAGUGCGAGGGCAUAUAGUCCUCGCUUUUUGCGACCGUAAGGUGGUCGCGGAAUAAGUGCUGGGCAAGACCGGUGCCAGCCGCCGCGGUAAUACCGGCAGCACGAGUGAUGACCGCUGUUAUUGGGCCUAAAGCGUCCGUAGCUGGCCGCGCAAGUCUAUCGGGAAAUCUCUUCGCUUAACGGAGAGGCGUCCGGUGGAAACUGUGUGGCUUGGGACCGGAAGACCAGAGGGGUACGUCUGGGGUAGGAGUG
Molecule: ribosomal RNA, 632 nt
Filed under: Natrialba magadii
Lineage: Archaea; Methanobacteriati; Methanobacteriota; Halobacteria; Halobacteriales; Natrialbaceae
Description: bacterial SSU rRNA
Rfam family: Archaeal small subunit ribosomal RNA
Source: RNAcentral